CCCUUAGAUGUUCUGGGCCGCACGCGCGCUACACUGAUGCAUUCAACGAGUCUAAAACCUGCUCUGAUAGGGGUGGGUAAUCUUUUGAAUGUGCAUCGUGAUUGGGAUAGAUGAUUGCAAUUUUUCAUCUUCAACGAGGAAUGCCUAGUAAACGCAAGUCAUCAGCUUGCAUUGAUUACGUCCCUGCCCUUUGUACACACCGCCCGUCGCUCCUACCUAUUGAAUGAUCCGAUGAAUAUCAUGGAUUGAGGAUGCAAGCAGGUUCGCCUGUCUUCAUCUUCGAGAAGUGAAGUAAAUCUUAUCAUUUAGAGGAAGGAGAAGUCGUAACA
This 329-nucleotide ribosomal RNA is filed under the name uncultured eukaryote. RNAcentral's name for it is "partial 18S ribosomal RNA". It matches the Rfam family "Eukaryotic small subunit ribosomal RNA", at positions 1470 to 1796 of the family's 1831-position model. The record is from RNAcentral.